The sequence is a ribosomal RNA, 503 nucleotides long. It matches the Rfam family "Bacterial large subunit ribosomal RNA", at positions 1812 to 2608 of the family's 2925-position model.
AACAUUGCCUUUAGAAAAUUUAUUAAAGGUUCAUCCUGCCCAGUGAAACAUUUUUCAACGGCCGCGGUACCCUAACCGUGCAAAGGUAGCAUAAUCAUUUGCCUUUUAAUUGUAGGCUAGUAUGAACGGACAAACGAAAUUUCACCUGUAUCAAUUUUAUAAAAUAAAAAUUAGACUUCAUGUGAAGAUACAUGAAUCCUAUUGAAAGACAAGAAGACCCUAUAGAGUUUUAGUAGAUAUUUUCCUCAAUAAUUAACCUACUUUGGUUGGGGCGACCUAGGAUUAACUAAAACAUCCUCAUAUUAACAGAGUGAUAACUCUCCCUAAUGAUCCUGAUAAUCAGAUUCUUAAAACAAACUACCUUAGGGAUAACAGGCUUAUCUUCCUAAAGAGUCCAAAUUGACAGGAAGGUCUGGCACCUCGAUGUUGGCUUAGAGUAACCUAUUAAUGCAAAAGUUAAUUUAGGUCGGUUUGUUCAACCGUUAAAUCUCUACAUGAUCUGA